Molecule: ribosomal RNA, 497 nt
Filed under: uncultured bacterium
Lineage: Bacteria
Description: partial 16S ribosomal RNA
Rfam family: Bacterial small subunit ribosomal RNA
Source: RNAcentral
GAUGAACGCUGGCGGCGUGCCUAAUACAUGCAAGUCGAGCGAACGGACGAGAAGCUUGCUUCUCUGAUGUUAGCGGCGGACGGGUGAGUAACACGUGGAUAACCUACCUAUAAGACUGGGAUAACUUCGGGAAACCGGAGCUAAUACCGGAUAAUAUUUUGAACCGCAUGGUUCAAAAGUGAAAGACGGUCUUGCUGUCACUUAUAGAUGGAUCCGCGCUGCAUUAGCUAGUUGGUAAGGUAACGGCUUACCAAGGCAACGAUGCAUAGCCGACCUGAGAGGGUGAUCGGCCACACUGGAACUGAGACACGGUCCAGACUCCUACGGGAGGCAGCAGUAGGGAAUAUUGCACAAUGGGCGAAAGCCUGACGGAGCAACGCCGCGUGAGUGAUGAAGGUCUUCGGAUCGUAAAGCUCUGUUAUUAGGGAAGAACAUAUGUGUAAGUAACUGUGCACAUCUUGACGGUACCUAAUCAGAAAGCCACGGCUAACUACGUG